AUGACCGGUUAGGCCAUCCCGGUA
This 24-nucleotide non-coding RNA is filed under the name Arabidopsis thaliana (thale cress). Lineage: Eukaryota; Viridiplantae; Streptophyta; Magnoliopsida; Brassicales; Brassicaceae. The record is from RNAcentral.